This 492-nucleotide ribosomal RNA is filed under the name uncultured bacterium. RNAcentral's name for it is "partial 16S ribosomal RNA". It matches the Rfam family "Bacterial small subunit ribosomal RNA", at positions 29 to 507 of the family's 1533-position model. The record is from RNAcentral.
AGUGAACGCUGGCGGUAGGCCUAACACAUGCAAGUCGAACGGCAGCACAGUAAGAGCUUGCUCUUACGGGUGGCGAGUGGCGGACGGGUGAGGAAUACAUCGGAAUCUACUUUUUCGUGGGGGAUAACGUAGGGAAACUUACGCUAAUACCGCAUACGACCUACGGGUGAAAGCAGGGGAUCUUCGGACCUUGCGCGAUUGAAUGAGCCGAUGUCGGAUUAGCUAGUUGGCGGGGUAAAGGCCCACCAAGGCGACGAUCCGUAGCUGGUCUGAGAGGAUGAUCAGCCACACUGGAACUGAGACACGGUCCAGACUCCUACGGGAGGCAGCAGUGUGGAAUAUUGGACAAUGGGCGCAAGCCUGAUCCAACCAUACCGCGUGGGUGAAGAAGGCCUUCGGGUUGUAAAGACCUUUUGUUGGGAAAGAAAAGCAGCAGGUUAAUACCCCGCUGUUCUGACGGUACCCAAAGAAUAAGCACCGGCUAACUUCGUG